This 100-nucleotide small RNA is filed under the name Pan troglodytes (chimpanzee). RNAcentral describes it as "processed transcript". Lineage: Eukaryota; Metazoa; Chordata; Mammalia; Primates; Hominidae. RNAcentral also lists the same sequence under 1 other name. The record is from RNAcentral.
GUUUCCAUGGGAACAGUGAGGGGAGAUGAAGGCAGAGAACAGAGAUCUGCAGCCAAGAAUACCACUUGGGUCGCUCGAGGAGGAAGAGUGUCCCAGGGGG